UGGUUCUCCCCGAAAGCUAUUUAGGUAGCGCCUCGUGAAUUCAUCUCCGGGGGUAGAGCACUGUUUCGGCUAGGGGGCCAUCCCGGCUUACCAACCCGAUGCAAACUGCGAAUACCGGAGAAUGUUAUCACGGGAGACACACGGCGGGUGCUAACGUCCGUCGUGAAGAGGGAAACAACCCAGACCGCCAGCUAAGGUCCCAAAGUCAUGGUUAAGUGGGAAACGAUGUGGGAAGGCCCAGACAGCCAGGAUGUUGGCUUAGAAGCAGCCAUCAUUUAAAGAAAGCGUAAUAGCUCACUGGUCGAGUCGGCCUGCGCGGAAGAUGUAACGGGGCUAAACCAUGCACCGAAGCUGCGGCAGCGAACGUAUCACCCAAGACAACUUUACGGAGUUGACGAUUGACGGAGCGAAGCGACGUCAAAGCGUUCAUUAAAGUCGAGUUGGCUUAGGGAUACGUUCGUUGGGUAGGGGAGCGUUCUGUAAGCCUGUGAAGGUGUGUCGUGAGGCAUGCUGGAGGUAUCAGAAGUGCGAAUGCUGACAUAAGUAACGAUAAAGCGGGUGAAAAGCCCGCUCGCCGGAAGACCAAGGGUUCCUGUCCAACGUUAAUCGGGGCAGGGUGAGUCGACCCCUAAGGCGAGGCCGAAAGGCGUAGUCGAUGGGAAACGGGUUAAUAUUCCCGUACUUGGUGUUACUGCGAAGGGGGGACGGAGAAGGCUAUGUUGGCCGGGCGACGGUUGUCCCGGUUUAAGCGUGUAGGUGUGUGUUCCAGGUAAAUCCGGUUCACUUUAACACUGAGGCGUGAUGACGAGGCACUACGGUGCUGAAGCAACAAAUGCCCUGCUUCCAGGAAAAGCCUCUAAGCAUCAGGUAACAUCAAAUC
Molecule: ribosomal RNA, 880 nt
Filed under: Salmonella enterica subsp. enterica serovar Typhimurium
Lineage: Bacteria; Pseudomonadati; Pseudomonadota; Gammaproteobacteria; Enterobacterales; Enterobacteriaceae
Description: partial 23S ribosomal RNA
Rfam family: Bacterial large subunit ribosomal RNA
Source: RNAcentral